This 323-nucleotide transfer-messenger RNA is filed under the name Candidatus Harrisonbacteria bacterium CG10_big_fil_rev_8_21_14_0_10_42_17. It matches the Rfam family "transfer-messenger RNA". Rfam says of the family: Bacterial tmRNA, also known as 10Sa RNA or SsrA, is named for its dual tRNA and mRNA-like properties. Its role is to liberate the mRNA from a stalled ribosome. RNAcentral also lists the same sequence under 1 other name. Lineage: Bacteria; Candidatus Harrisoniibacteriota. The record is from RNAcentral.
GGGGAUGACAGGCCUCGAUGAAUUGAUAGAUUAUUCAAUUGCAAGCCGAGUUGAGUUUCUCGUAAAACAAUUCAAAACCUUAGUAACUGGCAAUCAAACUGCUAGAGUACCAGCUCUCGCUUACGCGUAACUGAUACCAUCGGUCUUCAAGGUUCCAUAGAAGGUCACCGGUGUUAUACCUGGAACUAAGGAGUGAGCCGCGGUCCACUACUCACUCACAAAAAUCUGCGGACCAAAAACCCGUACUCGUUAAGAGCACUAAGCUUGUAGACAUUGCUUGAGACAUCAUUCACACGGCGGUUCGACUCCGCCCAUCUCCACCA